GAUGAACGCUGGCGGCGUGCCUAAUACAUGCAAGUCGAGCGAACGGACGAGAAGCUUGCUUCUCUGAUGUUAGCGGCGGACGGGUGAGUAACACGUGGAUAACCUACCUAUAAGACUGGGAUAACUUCGGGAAACCGGAGCUAAUACCGGAUAAUAUUUUGAACCGCAUGGUUCAAAAGUGAAAGACGGUCUUGCUGUCACUUAUAGAUGGAUCCGCGCUGCAUUAGCUAGUUGGUAAGGUAACGGCUUACCAAGGCAACGAUGCAUAGCCGGCCUGAGAGGGUGAUCGGCCACACUGGAACUGAGACACGGUCCAGACUCCUACGGGAGGCAGCAGUAGGGAAUCUUCCGCAAUGGGCGAAAGCCUGACGGAGCAACGCCGCGUGAGUGAUGAAGGUCUUCGGAUCGUAAAACUCUGUUAUUAGGGAAGAACAUAUGUGUAAGUAACUGUGCACAUCUUGACGGUACCUAAUCAGAAAGCCACGGCUAACUACGUGCCAGCAGCCGCGGGUAUACGUAGGUGGCAAGCGUUAUCCGGAAUUAUUGGGCGUAAAGCGCGCGUAGGCGGUUUUUUAGUCUGAUGUGAAAGCCCACGGCUCAACCGUGGAGGGUCAUUGGAAACUGGAAAACUUGAGUGCAGAAGAGGAAAGUGGAAUUCCAUGUGUAGCGGUGAAAUGCGCAGAGAUAUGGAGGAACACCAGUGGCGAAGGCGACUUUCUGGUCUGUAACUGACGCUGAUGUGCGAAAGCGUGGGGAUCAAACAGGAUUAGAUACCCUGGUAGUCCACGCCGUAAACGAUGAGUGCUAAGUGUUAGGGGGUUUCCGCCCCUUAGUGCUGCAGCUAACGCAUUAAGCACUCCGCCUGGGGAGUACGACCGCAAGGUUGAAACUCAAAGGAAUUGACGGGGACCCGCACAAGCGGUGGAGCAUGUGGUUUAAUUCGAAGCAACGCGAAGAACCUUACCAAAUCUUGACAUCCUUUGACAACUCUAGAGAUAGAGCUUUCCCCUUCGGGGGACAAAGUGACAGGUGGUGCAUGGUUGUCGUCAGCUCGUGUCGUGAGAUGUUGGGUUAAGUCCCGCAACGAGCGCAACCCUUAAGCUUAGUUGCCAUCAUUAAGUUGGGCACUCUAAGUUGACUGCCGGUGACAAACCGGAGGAAGGUGGGGAUGACGUCAAAUCAUCAUGCCCCUUAUGAUUUGGGCUACACACGUGCUACAAUGGACAAUACAAAGGGCAGCGAAACCGUGAGGUCAAGCAAAUCCCAUAAAGUUGUUCUCAGUUCGGACUGUAGUCUGCAACUCGACUACAUGAAGCUGGAAUCGCUAGUAAUCGUAGAUCAGCAUGCUACGGUGAAUACGUUCCCGGGUCU
This 1371-nucleotide ribosomal RNA is filed under the name uncultured bacterium. RNAcentral describes it as "bacterial SSU rRNA". It matches the Rfam family "Bacterial small subunit ribosomal RNA", at positions 28 to 1381 of the family's 1533-position model. The record is from RNAcentral.